Thalassophryne amazonica is the source of this 103-nucleotide long non-coding RNA. RefSeq lists it as uncharacterized. The record is from RefSeq and is a predicted model, not a curated record. The transcript has 4 exons. Lineage: Eukaryota; Metazoa; Chordata; Actinopteri; Batrachoidiformes; Batrachoididae.
AGAAGUGUGAAGGCCAGGGCUUCCAUAACACCUCAGCAGUGCCACAGGCUGAUCACCUCCAUGCCACACCACAUUGAUGCAGUAACUCCUACAAAAGUAGCCC